AUUGAACGCUGGCGGCAGGCCUAACACAUGCAAGUCGAGCGGAUGAAGGGAGCUUGCUCCUGGAUUCAGCGGCGGACGGGUGAGUAAUGCCUAGGAAUCUGCCUGGUAGUGGGGGAUAACGUCCGGAAACGGGCGCUAAUACCGCAUACGUCCUGAGGGAGAAAGUGGGGGAUCUUCGGACCUCACGCUAUCAGAUGAACCUAGGUCGGAUUAGCUGGUUGGUGGGGUAAAGGCCUACCAAGGCGACGAUCCGUAACUGGUCUGAGAGGAUGAUCAGUCACACUGGAACUGAGACACGGUCCAGACUCCUACGGGAGGCAGCAGUGGGGAAUAUUGGACAAUGGGCGAAAGCCUGAUCCAGCCAUGCCGCGUGUGUGAAGAAGGUCUUCGGAUUGUAAAGCACUUUAAGUUGGGAGGAAGGGCAGUAAGUUAAUACCUUGCUGUUUUGACGUUACCAACAGAAUAAGCACCGGCUAACUUCGUG
RNAcentral lists this ribosomal RNA (484 nucleotides) under uncultured bacterium. Its description in RNAcentral is "partial 16S ribosomal RNA". It matches the Rfam family "Bacterial small subunit ribosomal RNA", at positions 30 to 507 of the family's 1533-position model. The record is from RNAcentral.